CAAACAGUGCGGGAUGUGUUAUGUACCAUUUUCCGCUCUGUCAGUAUGAGGAGGUGCGUGUGGAGCUGGCCACAGUCCAGAGGGAGCUGGGAGGAGUGCGUGAAGGGGUGCAGGAGGAGGUGCGCGCCAGAGAGCGUCUGUCUCAUGACCUGCAGGUCAAAACAGGUCAGGUGCACUCGCUGGAGGGACAACUCGAGUCUGCCAGGAAGCUGACACAAAACCUCACGCAGGAGAUCAAACGGCUUGAGGCGGAGCUGGAAAAGCAGCAUAAGGGAAAUGGCUCUGGGGAAUCCAUGUUGUUUUCCACACCUUGUUGGAACAUGAGCUCUCCCUGGGACAACAACGGUGGUUUCAGAGUGGAGAGUGAAAGCAAAACACAGCAUGCCAGACAGCAGCUGCAGUUUGGAGACGUCCCCAAGCCAUCGGCGGGCGGGGCUACCUCCCCGUUUCCACAGCAACCUCAUAAAUCCCCACCCCUUCGGCAACACAUCCGUCAAUCGGAACCGUCCACCCCCUCCUCUUUGUUUCCAUGGGAACGUGAGAAUUUGUGGUCCACUCCCAAAGGACGACCAGCUUCCUCGGUUUCAUCCAGUGAUGUCAUAAUCAAGAACAGUGACUCAGGGAUGGAGGAAGCCUUGAGGAAUGAGAUAGAUGGUGAGCUUCUCCACAAACUAUUGGGGUUUCAGAUGUUUUGCACUGAAAAGCUGAAUUUUAAUCAGAUUUUCAGGCAUCCCUGAGUAAAAUGAAACCAGGAAGCUUUUUGCAACCAGCCCAGAGUCUUUUACAAUGCGCUUUAUUGCUUAAAUUCUAAAGCACAGAUUGAGUUACAUUUCUCUUCCUGGGUUGUUUGAAUCCAGG
Molecule: long non-coding RNA, 858 nt
Filed under: Sinocyclocheilus grahami
Lineage: Eukaryota; Metazoa; Chordata; Actinopteri; Cypriniformes; Cyprinidae
Description: lncRNA (ENSSGRG00000004380.1)
Source: RNAcentral